This 489-nucleotide ribosomal RNA is filed under the name uncultured bacterium. Its description in RNAcentral is "partial 16S ribosomal RNA". It matches the Rfam family "Bacterial small subunit ribosomal RNA", at positions 28 to 507 of the family's 1533-position model. The record is from RNAcentral.
GACGAACGCUGGCGGCGUGCUUAACACAUGCAAGUCGAACGGUGAAGGGACCAGCUUGCUGGUUCUGGAUGAGUGGCGAACGGGUGAGUAACACGUGAGUAACCUGCCCCCUUCUUCUGGAUAACCGCAUGAAAGUGUGGCUAAUACGGGAUAUUCUGGGUCUGUCGCAUGGCGGGCCCGGGAAAGAUAUUGCUUCGGUGGGGGAUGGGCUCGCGGCCUAUCAGCUUGUUGGUGGGGUGAUGGCCUACCAAGGCGGUGACGGGUAGCCGGCCUGAGAGGGUAGACGGUCACACUGGGACUGAGACACGGCCCAGACUCCUACGGGAGGCAGCAGUGGGGAAUAUUGCACAAUGGGCGCAAGCCUGAUGCAGCGACGCCGCGUGAGGGAUGGAGGCCUUCGGGUUGUAAACCUCUUUCGCCAGUGAAGCAGGCCUGCUCCUUGUGGGUGGGUUGACGGUAGCUGGAUAAGAAGCGCCGGCUAACUACGUG